RNAcentral lists this ribosomal RNA (254 nucleotides) under uncultured bacterium. Its description in RNAcentral is "partial 16S ribosomal RNA". It matches the Rfam family "Bacterial small subunit ribosomal RNA", at positions 524 to 776 of the family's 1533-position model. The record is from RNAcentral.
CACGUAGGGGGCAAGCGUUGUCCGGAUUUAUUGGGCGUAAAGAGCUCGUAGGUGGUUCGGUAAGUCGGGUGUGAAAACUCUGGGCUCAACUCAGAGACGCCACCCGAUACUGCUGUGACUUGAGUCUGGUAGGGGAGCACGGAAUUCCUGGUAUAGCGGUGAAAUGCGCAGAUAUCAGGAGGAACACCGGUGGCGAAGGCGGUGCUCUGGGCCAGUACUGACGCUGAGGAGCGAAAGCGUGGGGAGCAAACAGG